Molecule: ribosomal RNA, 266 nt
Filed under: Paenibacillus sp. ISOM465_OTU5422
Lineage: Bacteria; Bacillati; Bacillota; Bacilli; Caryophanales; Paenibacillaceae
Description: partial 16S ribosomal RNA
Rfam family: Bacterial small subunit ribosomal RNA
Source: RNAcentral
ACGAACGCUGGCGGCGUGCCUAAUACAUGCAAGUCGAGCGGAUUUUAUCCUUCGGGAUAAGGUUAGCGGCGGACGGGUGAGUAACACGUAGGCAACCUGCCUGCAAGAUCGGGAUAACAUUCGGAAACGAAUGCUAAUACCGGAUACACAAUUUCCUCGCAUGGGGAGAUUGGGAAAGACGGCGCAAGCUGUCACUUGCAGAUGGGCCUGCGGUGCAUUAGCUAGUUGGUGGGGUAACGGCUCACCAAGGCGACGAUGCAUAGCCG